CCUACGGGUGGCUGCAGUGGGGAAUAUUGGACAAUGGGGGCAACCCUGAUCCAGCCAUGCCGCGUGUGUGAAGAAGGCCCUCGGGGUGUAAAGCACUUUCAGGGAGGAAGAACGCCUGGUGGUGAAUACGCAGCAGGAAAGACAUCACUCACAGAAGAAGCACCGGCUAACUCCGUGCCAGCAGCCGCGGUAAUACGGAGGGUGCGAGCGUUAAUCGGAAUUACUGGGCGUAAAGCGCGAGUAGGUGGCUGGAUAAGCCGGUUGUGAAAGCCCCGGGCUCAACCUGGGAACGGCAUCCGGAACUGUCAAGCUAGAGUGCAGGAGAGGAAGGUAGAAUUCCCGGUGUAGCGGUGAAAUGCGUAGAGAUCGGGAGGAAUACCAGUGGCGAAGGCGGCCUUCUGGACUGACACUGACACUGAGGUGCGAAAGCGUGGGUAGCAAACAGGAUUAGAUACCCUAGUAGUC
Molecule: ribosomal RNA, 465 nt
Filed under: Vreelandella stevensii
Lineage: Bacteria; Pseudomonadati; Pseudomonadota; Gammaproteobacteria; Oceanospirillales; Halomonadaceae
Description: partial 16S ribosomal RNA
Rfam family: Bacterial small subunit ribosomal RNA
Source: RNAcentral